RNAcentral lists this transfer RNA (70 nucleotides) under Alligator mississippiensis (American alligator). It matches the Rfam family "tRNA". From Rfam's summary of the family: Transfer RNA (tRNA) molecules are approximately 80 nucleotides in length. Lineage: Eukaryota; Metazoa; Chordata; Crocodylia; Alligatoridae. The record is from Rfam by way of RNAcentral.
AGCCAUGGUGUAAUGGGUAACACCUUGUACUUUAAAUACAGUGAUUUGAGUUCAAACCUCAUUGGAACUA